GUCGAGGAUCUUCGGCAAUGGGCGCAAGCCUGACCGAGCGACGCCGCGUGUGCGAUGAAGGCCUUCGGGUUGUAAAGCACUGUCGAGGGGGAGGAAGCCGCAAGGUUGACCUAUCCCUGGAGGAAGCACGGGCUAAGUUCGUGCCAGCAGCCGCGGUAAGACGAACCGUGCGAACGUUGUUCGGAUUCACUGGGCUUAAAGGGCGCGUAGGCGGGUUACCAAGUCAGGGGUGAAAUCUUUCGGCUCAACCGGAAAACGGCCCCUGAUACUGGUAGUCUUGAGGGAGGUAGGGGCAGGUGGAACUUCCGGUGGAGCGGUGAAAUGUGUUGAUAUCGGAAGGAACGCCGGUGGCGAAAGCGACCUGCUGGAUCUCUUCUGACGCUGAGGCGCGAAAGCUAGGGGAGCGAACGGGAUUAGAAACCCCUGUAGUCC
Molecule: ribosomal RNA, 432 nt
Filed under: uncultured bacterium
Lineage: Bacteria
Description: bacterial SSU rRNA
Rfam family: Bacterial small subunit ribosomal RNA
Source: RNAcentral